Molecule: long non-coding RNA, 707 nt
Filed under: Zonotrichia albicollis (white-throated sparrow)
Lineage: Eukaryota; Metazoa; Chordata; Aves; Passeriformes; Passerellidae
Description: lncRNA (ENSZALG00000012637.1)
Source: RNAcentral
CUUAGGUAACACAGGAAACUCAGCACAGGAGCUGAUCCAGGAUGUCUGAUGCCUGAAUCUGUAAUUCCCACUGAGAUCGAACUUCCAGUGACUCCAGAAAAGGACGGCAGCAUGACCAUCCUUUCCUGUUCAGCCAAACACCUUAACUAGAAUUAUUCAAGUUUAAAGCAAAAUUUCAGCAGUAACUGAAAUGCUUGCAGAAUACACGAACAACAGCGCCCUCUGCACCUGAAACCCCUCCGGUUAUUAAACCCAGACGUUCCUACGUGCUGGAGGAGCCUUUAAUUUCAAUUACUGCUUUUUUCAGCUGCUGCAGUAAACAUCACACUGAACCAUGGGGGGGACCUGGUCAUGAGCAAAUCACAAACAGACUGUCUCGACUGGCAGAAAAUCAAGCACCAACAUUUCAUCAGUGGAGGAACUCUUCUCUCCAGAGAUUUCGUCAAAGGCAAUGCAAGAAGGCAAGAUCUGGCAACAGCACCUGUCAAGAUUCCAAACCCAAGAAAUUAAAAAACACCUACUGUCCAAAUUAUUGUUGUACUGGUAGAAACAGGAUAGUAGCCUUUGGUCUUCCUGUGAAUAAACUGGAACAGAACUCUGUAUUGCCAGCUGAAUUUCUUUUUCAGCAACUCAACUUUCACAGUGAAUCAGGAGUACAAUUCUUCUACUCUCUGCAUUUUAGUUUGGUCUCAGCUCUGUCUUCAUGA